AACGAACGCUGGUGGCGUGCUUAACACAUGCAAGUCGAACGAGAACAUUUCCUUCGGGAAAUUAGUAAAAGUGGCGCAAGGGUGAGUAACACGUGAAUAAUCUGCCCCUCGAGAUCGGGAUAACAUGGUGAAAACUAUGCUAAUACCGGAUAAGACCACAUUUCAUAAGAAAUGCGGGAAAAAGGAGUCUCAAUCUUCACUCGAGGAUGAGUUCGCGCAACAUUAGCUUGUUGGUGAGAUAAAAGCUCACCAAGGCUACGAUGUUUAGCCGGCCUGAGAGGGUGAACGGCCACACUGGAACUGAGACACGGUCCAGACUCCUACGGGAGGCAGCAGUGGGGAAUAUUGCGCAAUGGGCGAAAGCCUGACGCAGCAAACGCCGUGUGAGCGAUG
Molecule: ribosomal RNA, 393 nt
Filed under: uncultured Nitrospina sp.
Lineage: Bacteria; Pseudomonadati; Nitrospinota; Nitrospinia; Nitrospinales; Nitrospinaceae
Description: bacterial SSU rRNA
Rfam family: Bacterial small subunit ribosomal RNA
Source: RNAcentral